CUACCUGCUAUGUGUAUUUGUGUCCAGAUGGCCAAAAUGCCAAGCAAAUCCUUAAAGCACAGGUGGUGUUGAGAUGCUGAUUAUGCAUGGGAGAUUGUGGGUGAGCACCCACCUUCCACAGCAGGUAGGCUCUCUAAGUGAACCCUGGCAACCCAUAGAGUCAUUGCUAUCCAUGUGUGGGUGGUGAUAGAUGAUGCUGAAUUAGGGGAUCCUUGGGUAAGGAACAAGGCAACUGAGUGAAGAGACACUUUCCUUCCCUGAUCUGAGAUAAUGUUUCUCAAGGUGUGGUCUAUGGACCACCUGAAUUGUUAUAAUCUGGGUGCCUAUUAAAAUUGCUAGGUGAGUCCGGUCCUAUUUCUGACUUAAUCAAUUUUUACAGAUACAGUUCAGGAGUCUGCAUUUCUUAGAAAGAUCAUUUUUUUGUUUGUUUGUUUGUUUGUUUUUUUGAGACAGGGUCUCACUCUGUCACCCAGGUUGGAGUGCAGUGUUGUGAUCUUGGCUCAAUGCAGCCUGGACCUCCCGGGCUCAAGUGAUUCUCCUGCCUCAGCCCCUGGAGUAGCUGGGACUACAGGCACAUGCCCCGACGCUUGGCUAAUUUUUAAAUUUUUGUAGAGAGGGGGUUUCAUCAUGUUGUCCAUGCUGGUCUCAAACUCUUGGACUCAAGCGAUCUACCCACCUCGGCCUCCCAAAGUGCUGGGAUUACAAGCGUGAGCCACCGUGUACGGCCAAGAUACACUUUUUUUUUUUUUUUUUUUGAGACGGAGUCUCGCACUGUCACCUGGACUGGAGUGCCGUGGUGCCAUCUCCACUCACUGCAACCUCUGCCUCUCAGGUUCAAGUGAUUCUCCUGCCUCAGCCUCCGGAGUAACUGGGAUUACAGGCGACUGCCACCACACCCAGCUAAUUUUUUUGUUUUUGUUUUUUGUUCGUCUGUUUUGUUUGUUUUGUUUUGUUUUGAGACGGAGUUUUGCUCUUGUUGCCCAGGUUGGAGCGCAAUGGCACAAUCUCGGCUCACCGCAACCUCUGCCUCCCGGGUUCAAGCAAUUCUCCUGCCUCAGCCUCCCGAGUAGCUGGGAUUACAGGCAUGCGCCACCAUGCCCAGCUAAUAUUUUUGUAUCUUUAGUAGAGACAGGGUUUCUCCAUGUUGGUCAGGCUGGUCUCAAACUCCUGCCCUCAGGUGAUCCGCCCGCCUCAGCCUCCCAAAGUGCUGAGAUUACAGGUGUGA
RNAcentral lists this long non-coding RNA (1225 nucleotides) under Homo sapiens (human). Its description in RNAcentral is "HSALNT0306581". The record is from RNAcentral. Lineage: Eukaryota; Metazoa; Chordata; Mammalia; Primates; Hominidae.